CUGCUCGCCUUGGCAGCAUAAAUACUAGAAUUAGAACUAUACUGAGUAGAUUAACAUGGCCCCUGCGCAAGGAUGACACUUAAAUUCGUGAAGCGUUCCAUAUUUCU
Small nuclear RNA from Nomascus leucogenys (northern white-cheeked gibbon), 107 nucleotides. The record is from Ensembl. NCBI's taxonomy places the organism in Eukaryota, Metazoa, Chordata, Mammalia, Primates, Hylobatidae.